Cyprinus carpio carpio is the source of this 978-nucleotide long non-coding RNA. Lineage: Eukaryota; Metazoa; Chordata; Actinopteri; Cypriniformes; Cyprinidae. The record is from Ensembl.
UUAAUGUAACAGGUAUUUUUGUAAAGGGACUUUUAUUUUGAUGGGUUGCCCCGUUUUCGGGUAUGUUAGCGGGAGGUGAAAAGAUGUCUGGGAAGAAGGAGAAAAAGAGAGCAUUUUUACGAGAGAAAGACACGCCAUGAUUGCUGUGUGGGAAAUCAGCAGUUUUUCAACGGAAAACGUGAAAGAAGAUAGUAAUAUACAGUUCAUCUGAGUUUUUGUGAGUUAAACGAACAUUAACGCCAUCGUCGUCUGAGACUGGAAACGGAGCUGGUGCAGAAGUUCGGCUGAUUGCGUCAUCGAACAGCGUGAGAGACUGGCUGAGAGCACGAGAGUUAGUUGCUGGAGCCGUGAGUUUCUUCCUGAACGCUGUUGUUUUGCAUCUUUCGAACUGUAUGUAUUUUUGAGAGUUUUUCUGCGUGCCUGAGUCAUUAAUGAGCUGUGCUUUGGACUGAGAGACGUUAAUUUCUUCCUGCUUGUCAGUCAAGUGCACUUGUUAGUGCGUGAGAAGAUGUAAAUGAACUGGAAGUGAUGUUUUUUCGUUUUCGCUCUCUCUCUCUUUUUGCAUUUUUGUAGAGACUGCCCAUUGCCUAAGAUCCGUUUUGCUUUUGGGAAACUUUUAUUAUUAUUUUUUAUUUUUUUUCUUAUUGAGACUGAGUCAGUGCGUGCUGUGGCAGAGCUGCGCCAUUUUGUUCCAGGAAAUUCCGGGUUUUUUUUUGGAAAUUUGCUAGUUUUAUUAUUAUUACCCUGCCAUCCUGACGACAUCUCCUUACUUUCCUGUCCCAGCUGUUCAUUUCUCUAUUACAGGUCAUCUCAAGUCAUUGCAAGUAAUUUCUUCAAUUUCAUCAUCGCUAAAGACUGGUACAACGUUCAUUGCACAUAUACAUACAUGAACUCUUACUGAUAUAGACUGAACUGCGAACUUGAACUAGGUAACUGAACUGGGUUUGAUGUGAAAAUUGAAUCAUCUGUCGAAUCGCA